GUAGGUGAACCUGCGGAAGGAUCAUUACCAAUCCAAAAAAACUUAUACACCUGUGCACUUUGGGAUGUCUUUAGGGGAUUUGAAGUAUUCAUCUUUUAGGCUUCUAAAUGGAUGGUCAGUUAAAUGGGUCUCUGUCUUUCUUGUUUCCCAUACUUGUAUGGACUUGAGAAAAAGGGGAUGCAUUGAUCAAAAGUUUCUAAGCUGUUUGACGAGAUUGAAUUUGCUUUGUCCCCGCAUGUAUUAAACAACU
This 250-nucleotide unclassified non-coding RNA is filed under the name plant metagenome. Its description in RNAcentral is "partial contains small subunit ribosomal RNA, internal transcribed spacer 1, and 5.8S ribosomal RNA". The record is from RNAcentral.